CUACGGGAGGCAGCAGUGGGGAAUCUUGCGCAAUGGGCGAAAGCCUGACGCAGCCAUGCCGCGUGAAUGAUGAAGGGCUUAGGAUUGUAAAAUUCUUUCACCGGGGACGAUAAUGACGGACCCGA
This 125-nucleotide ribosomal RNA is filed under the name uncultured Stenotrophomonas sp. RNAcentral's name for it is "partial 16S ribosomal RNA". It matches the Rfam family "Bacterial small subunit ribosomal RNA", at positions 339 to 463 of the family's 1533-position model. The record is from RNAcentral. Lineage: Bacteria; Pseudomonadati; Pseudomonadota; Gammaproteobacteria; Lysobacterales; Lysobacteraceae.